Molecule: ribosomal RNA, 497 nt
Filed under: uncultured bacterium
Lineage: Bacteria
Description: partial 16S ribosomal RNA
Rfam family: Bacterial small subunit ribosomal RNA
Source: RNAcentral
GAUGAACGCUGGCGGCGUGCCUAAUACAUGCAAGUCGAGCGAACAGACGAGGAGCUUGCUCCUCUGACGUUAGCGGCGGACGGGUGAGUAACACGUGGAUAACCUACCUAUAAGACUGGGAUAACUUCGGGAAACCGGAGCUAAUACCGGAUAAUAUAUUGAACCGCAUGGUUCAAUAGUGAAAGACGGUUUUGCUGUCACUUAUAGAUGGAUCCGCGCCGCAUUAGCUAGUUGGUAAGGUAACAGCUUACCAAGGCAACGAUGCGUAGCCGACCUGAGAGGGUGAUCGGCCACACUGGAACUGAGACACGGUCCAGACUCCUACGGGAGGCAGCAGUAGGGAAUCUUCCGCAAUGGGCGAAAGCCUGACGGAGCAACGCCGCGUGAGUGAUGAAGGUCUUCGGAUCGUAAAACUCUGUUAUUAGGGAAGAACAAAUGUGUAAGUAACUAUGCACGUCUUGACGGUACCUAAUCAGAGAGCCACGGCUAACUACGUG